AUGAAGAGUUUGAUCCUGGCUCAGGAUGAACGCUAGCGGCAGGCUUAACACAUGCAAGUCGAGGGGUAACAGAGAAAGCUUGCUUUCUGCUGACGACCGGCGCACGGGUGCGUAACGCGUAUGCAACCUACCUUAUACUGGGGAAUAGCCCGAAGAAAUUCGGAUUAAUGCCCCAUAGUAUUGUCGAUUCGCAUGUUUUGACAAUUAAAGAUUACGGUAUAAGAUGGGCAUGCGUCCCAUUAGCUAGAUGGUAAGGUAACGGCUUACCAUGGCAACGAUGGGUAGGGGGCCUGAGAGGGUGAUCCCCCACACUGGUACUGAGACACGGACCAGACUCCUACGGGAGGCAGCAGUGAGGAAUAUUGGUCAAUGGAGGCAACUCUGAACCAGCCAUGCCGCGUGCAGGAAGACGGUCCUAUGGAUUGUAAACUGCUUUUAUUUGGGAAUAAACCUGGGUACGUGUACCCAGCUGAAUGUACCAAACGAAUAAGCACCGGCUAACUCCGUGCCAGCAGCCGCGGUAAUACGGAGGGUGCAAGCGUUAAUCGGAUUUACUGGGCGUAAAGCGUGCGUAGGCGGCAUGUUAAGUCGGAUGUGAAAUCCCAGGGCUUAACCUUGGAACUGCAUCCGAAACUGGCAAGCUAGAGAUCGGUAGAGGUUGGUGGAAUUCCCGGUG
This 676-nucleotide ribosomal RNA is filed under the name Tripos fusus. Its description in RNAcentral is "partial Bacterial small subunit ribosomal RNA". It matches the Rfam family "Bacterial small subunit ribosomal RNA", at positions 1 to 675 of the family's 1533-position model. Lineage: Eukaryota; Dinophyceae; Gonyaulacales; Ceratiaceae. The record is from RNAcentral.